GUGUCCAUUGUCUAAUGGAUAAGACAAAGGUCUUCUAAAACUUUGGUAUAGUUUCAAAUCCUAUUGGAUGCA
Picea glauca (white spruce) is the source of this 72-nucleotide non-coding RNA. NCBI's taxonomy places the organism in Eukaryota, Viridiplantae, Streptophyta, Pinopsida, Pinales, Pinaceae. The record is from Rfam.